RNAcentral lists this ribosomal RNA (497 nucleotides) under uncultured bacterium. Its description in RNAcentral is "partial 16S ribosomal RNA". It matches the Rfam family "Bacterial small subunit ribosomal RNA", at positions 28 to 507 of the family's 1533-position model. The record is from RNAcentral.
GAUGAACGCUGGCGGCGUGCCUAAUACAUGCAAGUCGAGCGAACAGACGAGGAGCUUGCUCCUUCGACGUUAGCGGCGGACGGGUGAGUAACACGUAGGUAACCUACCUAUAAGACUGGGAUAACUUCGGGAAACCGGAGCUAAUACCGGAUAAUAUUUCGAACCGCAUGGUUCGAUAGUGAAAGAUGGCUUUGCUAUCACUUAUAGAUGGACCUGCGCCGUAUUAGCUAGUUGGUAAGGUAACGGCUUACCAAGGCAACGAUACGUAGCCGACCUGAGAGGGUGAUUCGCCCAACUGGAACUGAGACACGGUCCAGAAUCCUACGGGAGGCAGCAGUAGGGAAUCUUCCGCAAUGGGCGAAAGCCUGACGGAGCAACGCCGCGUGAGUGAUGAAGGUCUUCGGAUCGUAAAACUCUGUUAUUAGGGAAGAACAAACGUGUAAGUAACUGUGCACGUCUUGACGGUACCUAAUCAGAAAGCCACGGCUAACUACGUG